AAAUGCCAGCGUGGUCAGUGUACUCUGGGUGACUGGCGUGGGAUCAGAGUCCUGUACAGACUUCACAUCUGAUCCGGAGGCUACUGCACUGUCUUGUCCAGGAAAUACUUCACAAGGAAGACAUUAACACACACUGCCGACAGAGGAAACAAGAGAAAUAGAGAAAAAGAGUGGAGAGAGGUUCGCUGAGGAGGAAAGAUAUAUACAAAAAUUGAGACAGAGCAGUAAAUAGAGACACGAUCUGUGAAGAUUGGGUACGCACUUACACAGCAGUCAACAUGCCCCUUUCCAAAAGUGAUCACCCCUCCAUGAGGCAGUUUCUGAAGGAGAAAGUCAUCAAAGGAGGUGCCAUCCCUGGAUACCACCAGCUACAGGAAAAGUACUUGGGAGAUGUCUACCUGAAGGUGAAGGGAAGAACUCAAGCAACAUCUCGCAGGGAAGCCAGUGGCAGUCAUCUUCGAUGAAACUCCAGAUGUUGAAGGAAGAUGUGUACUAAACAUCCUCACCGCACCACUUGAAAAGGAUACCUCGGAGAGAAUUCUUGCCUACCUCGACAGAGACAGUGUUUCUGGAGCAGUGUAACCAUUCAACAGUUUCCACGGCGGUGGUGAAAUGUCUACAAGAUUACAAGAUCGCCAAUGAUGACGUCAUUGUCUUUGACACAGACAAUGCUGCGUACAUGAAGAAAGCCGACAGAGCUGCACUUCAGUCGUUGUUCCCCCAUCUCCCUGCACAUAACAUGCAUGGUUCCCAUCAUGAAUCUGAUAAGGAUUGCUCUCUGCAAAACUUUUGAUCAGCUGGACGCAUUCAUGCUACGUUUUUCGCAGAUGUUUUACCAGCACGCAGAAUAAGAUACCUUUACCUUCCUCACCACCAAACUGGCAGGACGGAAGAGAGCAACUAUGGCUCCCAAUCCAUGUGCAAAUCGCUGGAACUCAUGGUUCUCAGCAGUGCAGUACCACUCACAGCUGUUUGGCCUCUACAAGGGGUUCAUAGAGAUGGAAAUACAGGUGUGUGGCCCGAGGUGCCCCAACAGUCUGUAGAGAAACUCCCAUAAGAUGCUACAAGACCAAGAGCAGGUUCAGUCGCUGGAGAUUCAGCUGAACAUCAUGGCAGACAUGUUCAAAGUCGUCCUGCAGCUUCUCGACAUCUUCCAGAGCAGACGCCCGUGACAACAAAGAUCUUUCACUAUUUAGAGGACUUGCAGAUGAACAUUGCAGCCGUCAAAGAACUACAGUAGGAGGCUUGUUCACACUGCUUUGACGCAGUUGACGACGUACCCUUUGCUGUGAAAACAAAAAUCUUGAGCACCGUUGAAGAGGCAUACAGCAAUGCAGAGGAAAAACUCCAUGGCAAACUGUCAGAUAGUCAGCCUGCCCUGGAGCUCCUCAGAGAGAUUAAAGUAGAUGUCACACGUCAAUUUUGAUUGAUGACCCUAUGUGAACCUAUGUGAACGCUAUGU
Long non-coding RNA from Salvelinus namaycush (lake trout), 1462 nucleotides. RefSeq lists it as uncharacterized. NCBI's taxonomy places the organism in Eukaryota, Metazoa, Chordata, Actinopteri, Salmoniformes, Salmonidae. The record is from RefSeq and is a predicted model, not a curated record. The transcript has 3 exons.